RNAcentral lists this ribosomal RNA (441 nucleotides) under uncultured bacterium. RNAcentral's name for it is "partial 16S ribosomal RNA". It matches the Rfam family "Bacterial small subunit ribosomal RNA", at positions 338 to 795 of the family's 1533-position model. The record is from RNAcentral.
CCUACGUGAGGCUGCAGUCGAGAAUCAUUCACAAUGGGGGAAACCCUGAUGGUGCGACGCCGCGUGGGGGAAUGAAGGUCUUCGGAUUGUAAACCCCUGUCCUCUGUGAAGAUAAUGACGGUAGCAGAGGAGGAAGCUCCGGCUAACUACGUGCCAGCAGCCGCGGUAAUACGUAGGGAGCAAGCGUUGUCCGGAUUUACUGGGUGUAAAGGGUGCGUAGGCGGCCCUGCAAGUCAGAAGUGAAAUCCAUGGGCUUAACCCGUGAACUGCUUUUGAAACUGUAGGGCUUGAGUGAAGUAGAGGCAGGCGGAAUUCCCGGUGUAGCGGUGAAAUGCGUAGAGAUCGGGAGGAACACCAGUGGCGAAGGCGGCCUGCUGGGCUUUAACUGACGCUGAAGCACGAAAGCGUGGGUAGCAAACAGGAUUAGAUACCCGUGUAGUC